RNAcentral lists this ribosomal RNA (369 nucleotides) under uncultured Glomeromycotina. RNAcentral describes it as "LSU rRNA". The record is from RNAcentral. Lineage: Eukaryota; Fungi; Glomeromycota.
UUGAAAGGGAAACGAUUGAAGUCAGUCGUGCUGGCGCGAAAUCAACCUUCUCGUCCUGAGAUCACAUGGCGUGGCGAGCCUCAAAACCGUCACGAAGCGUGAACUCUUGGUGAAAUGGAGCACUUUCGUGUCCGCUGGUUAACAUCAAUUUCGAACGUCAUAAAAAGGCUGGAGGGAUGUGGCUCCUUCGGGAGUGUUAUAACCUUUAGCGGAAUGUGGUGUUCGGGAUUGAGGAUUGCAACGAAUACCUUUAGGGCUGUUCCACCUGGCUUCUCUUUGGUAUCCUGGUGACGACAGCUUGCUGACGUCGUUAGGAUUCGCCUUUGAACAGGCUAGAGUGUGAGCAAAUUCGUUAAGGAUGUUGACGUA